This 353-nucleotide ribosomal RNA is filed under the name uncultured bacterium. Its description in RNAcentral is "bacterial SSU rRNA". It matches the Rfam family "Bacterial small subunit ribosomal RNA", at positions 8 to 353 of the family's 1533-position model. The record is from RNAcentral.
AGAGUUUGAUCCUGGCUCAGGAUGAACGCUGGCCGGCGUGCCUAACACAUGCAAGUCGAACGGAAUUUACAUGAAGCCUAGCGAUUGUAAAUUUAGUGGCGGACGGGUGAGUAACGCGUGGGUAACCUGCCUUGUACUGGGGGACAACAGUUGGAAACGACUGCUAAUACCGCAUAAGCGCACAGCUUCGCAUGAAGCAGUGUGAAAAACUCCGGUGGUACAAGAUGGACCCGCGUCUGAUUAGCUGGUUGGUGAGGUAACGGCCCACCAAGGCGACGAUCAGUAGCCGGCCUGAGAGGGUGAACGGCCACAUUGGGACUGAGACACGGCCCAAACUCCUACGGGAGGCAGCA